GACGAACGCUGGCGGCGUGCUUAACACAUGCAAGUCGAACGGAAAGGCCUUGCUUUUGUGGGGUGCUCGAGUGGCGAACGGGUGAGUAACACGUGAGUAACCUGCCCUUGACUUUGGGAUAACUUCAGGAAACUGGGGCUAAUACCGGAUAGGAGCUCCUGCUGCAUGGUGGGGGUUGGAAAGUUUCGGCGGUUGGGGAUGGACUCGCGGCUUAUCAGCUUGUUGGUGGGGUAGUGGCUUACCAAGGCUUUGACGGGUAGCCGGCCUGAGAGGGUGACCGGCCACAUUGGGACUGGGAUACGGCCCAGACUCCUACGGGAGGCAGCAGUGGGGAAUAUUGCACAAUGGGCGGAAGCCUGAUGCAGCAACGCCGCGUGCGGGAUGACGGCCUUCGGGUUGUAAACCGCUUUCGCCUGUGACGAAGCGUGAGUGACGGUAAUGGGUAAAGAAGCACCGGCUAACUACGUG
This 468-nucleotide ribosomal RNA is filed under the name uncultured bacterium. RNAcentral describes it as "partial 16S ribosomal RNA". It matches the Rfam family "Bacterial small subunit ribosomal RNA", at positions 28 to 507 of the family's 1533-position model. The record is from RNAcentral.